Molecule: ribosomal RNA, 497 nt
Filed under: uncultured bacterium
Lineage: Bacteria
Description: partial 16S ribosomal RNA
Rfam family: Bacterial small subunit ribosomal RNA
Source: RNAcentral
GAUGAACGCUGGCGGCGUGCCUAAUACAUGCAAGUCGAGCGAACAGACGAGGAGCUUGCUCCUCUGACGUUAGCGGCGGACGGGUGAGUAACACGUGGAUAACCUACCUAUAAGACUGGGAUAACUUCGGGAAACCGGAGCUAAUACCGGAUAAUAUAUUGAACCGCAUGGUUCAAUAGUGAAAGACGGUUUUGCUGUCACUUAUAGAUGGAUCCCCGCCGCAUUAGCUAGUUGGUAAGGUAACGGCUUACCAAGGCGACGAUGCGUAGCCGACCUGAGAGGGUGAUCGGCCACACUGGAACUGAGACACGGUCCAGACUCCUACGGGAGGCAGCAGUAGGGAAUCUUCCGCAAUGGGCGAAAGCCUGACGGAGCAACGCCGCGUGAGUGAUGAAGGUCUUCGGAUCGUAAAACUCUGUUAUUAGGGAAGAACAAAUGUGUAAGUAACUAUGCACGUCUUGACGGCACCUAAUCAGAAAGCCACGGCUAACUACGUG